RNAcentral lists this ribosomal RNA (365 nucleotides) under Actinomyces naeslundii. RNAcentral describes it as "bacterial SSU rRNA". It matches the Rfam family "Bacterial small subunit ribosomal RNA", at positions 28 to 370 of the family's 1533-position model. Lineage: Bacteria; Bacillati; Actinomycetota; Actinomycetes; Actinomycetales; Actinomycetaceae. The record is from RNAcentral.
GACGAACGCUGGCGGCGUGCUUAACACAUGCAAGUCGAACGGUGAAGGGGCCUGCUUUUGUGGGUCCUGGAUGAGUGGCGAACGGGUGAGUAACACGUGAGUAACCUGCCCCCUUCUUCUGGAUAACCGCAUGAAAGUGUGGCUAAUACGGGAUAUUCUGGGUCUGUCGCAUGGUGGGCCUGGGAAAGAUUGCGCCUUUUUUGGUGUUUUUGGUGGGGGAUGGGCUCGCGGCCUAUCAGCUUGUUGGUGGGGUGAUGGCCUACCAAGGCGGUGACGGGUAGCCGGCCUGAGAGGGUGGACGGUCACACUGGGACUGAGACACGGCCCAGACUCCUACGGGAGGCAGCAGUGGGGAAUAAUUCACA